Molecule: ribosomal RNA, 47 nt
Filed under: Opuntia robusta (nopal tapon)
Lineage: Eukaryota; Viridiplantae; Streptophyta; Magnoliopsida; Caryophyllales; Cactaceae
Description: 26S ribosomal RNA
Source: RNAcentral
CCACCCCAGUUCAUGCGGGGCUACCCGCUUAAUUUACAUAUCAAUAA